GCAGGGGUCGCCAAGUGGCCAAAGGCGCUGCGUUCAGGGCGCAGUCUCUUAGUGGGUUCGAGGGUUCAAAUCCCUCCCCCUGCACCA
This 87-nucleotide transfer RNA is filed under the name Microcaldota archaeon. RNAcentral's name for it is "tRNA-Leu". It matches the Rfam family "tRNA". Rfam says of the family: Transfer RNA (tRNA) molecules are approximately 80 nucleotides in length. Their secondary structure includes four short double-helical elements and three loops (D, anti-codon, and T loops). Further hydrogen bonds mediate the characteristic L-shaped molecular structure. tRNAs have two regions of fundamental functional importance: the anti-codon, which is responsible for specific mRNA codon recognition, and the 3' end, to which the tRNAs corresponding amino acid is attached (by aminoacyl-tRNA synthetases). tRNAs cope with the degeneracy of the genetic code in two manners: having more than one tRNA (with a specific anti-codon) for a particular amino acid; and 'wobble' base-pairing, i.e. permitting non-standard base-pairing at the 3rd anti-codon position. The record is from RNAcentral. Lineage: Archaea; Nanobdellati; Microcaldota.